This 72-nucleotide transfer RNA is filed under the name Candidatus Poribacteria bacterium. Its description in RNAcentral is "tRNA-Gln". It matches the Rfam family "tRNA". From Rfam's summary of the family: Transfer RNA (tRNA) molecules are approximately 80 nucleotides in length. The record is from RNAcentral. Lineage: Bacteria; Candidatus Poribacteria.
UGGGCGGUGGCCAAACGGUAAGGCACGGGCCUUUGGAGCCUGUAUGUGUAGGUUCGAAUCCUGCCCGCCCAA